This 818-nucleotide ribosomal RNA is filed under the name uncultured bacterium. RNAcentral's name for it is "bacterial SSU rRNA". It matches the Rfam family "Bacterial small subunit ribosomal RNA", at positions 8 to 837 of the family's 1533-position model. The record is from RNAcentral.
AGAGUUUGAUUCUGGCUCAGGAUGAACGCUAGCGGCAGGCCUAAUACAUGCAAGGCGAGGGGUUAGCAAUAACACCGUCGUACGGGUGCGUAACGCGUAUGCAACCUACCUAUCACAGGGGGAUAGCCUUUGGAAACAGGGAUUAAUACCGCAUAAAGCAGGGGCUUGGCAUCAAGAUACUGCUAAAGAUUUAUCGGUGAUAGAUGGGCAUGCGUCUGAUCAGUUAGAUGGUGAGGUAACGGCUCACCAUGACGAUGAUCAGUAGGGGGCGUCAGAGCGUGGUCCCCCACACUGGCACUGAGAUACGGGCCAGACUCCUACGGGAGGCAGCAGUAGGGAAUAUUGGGCAAUGGAUGCAAGUCUGACCCAGCCAUGCCGCGUGCAGGAAGAAGGUCCUCUGGAUUGUAAACUGCUUUUUUCGGGGAAGAAGAGUUCUCUUGCGAGAGAAUGUGACGGUACCCGAUGAAUAAGCCACGGCUAACUACGUGCCAGCAGCCGCGGUAAUACGUGGGUGGCAAGCGUUGUCCGGAUUUAUUGGGUUUAAAGGGUGCGUAGGUGGUUUGAUAAGUCAGUGGUGAAAGCUGGUUGCUCAACAAUCAAGUUGCCAUUGAUACUGUCGGACUUGAGAGAAGUGGAGGUUCAUGGAAUGGAUGGUGUAGCGGUGAAAUGCAUAGAUAUCAUCCAGAACGUCGAUUGCGAAGGCAGUGGGCUGUACUUUUUCUGACACUGAGGCACGAAAGCGUNNNGAUCAAACAGGAUUAGAUACCCUGGUAGUCCACGCUGUAAACGAUGCGAACUAGCUUUUUGGUUUAGGAUUA